Molecule: ribosomal RNA, 292 nt
Filed under: uncultured bacterium
Lineage: Bacteria
Description: partial 16S ribosomal RNA
Rfam family: Archaeal small subunit ribosomal RNA
Source: RNAcentral
GUGCCAGCCGCCGCGGUAAUACCGGCAGUUCGAGUGAUGGCCGCUCUUAUUGGGCCUAAGCGUUCGUAGCCUGCCACGCAAGUUCGUCGGGAAAUCUGCCCGCUUAACGGGCAGGCGUCCGGCGAAAACUGCGUGGCUUGGGACCGGGAGACUUGAGGAGUACGUCCGGGGUAGGAGUGAAAUCCCGUAAUCCCGAACGGACUACCGAUGGCGAAAGCACCUCAAGAGCACGGAUCCGACGGUGAGGAACGAAAGCUGGGGUCUCGAACCGGAUUAGAAACCCGGGUAGUCC